This 465-nucleotide ribosomal RNA is filed under the name uncultured Klebsiella sp. RNAcentral describes it as "bacterial SSU rRNA". It matches the Rfam family "Bacterial small subunit ribosomal RNA", at positions 338 to 795 of the family's 1533-position model. Lineage: Bacteria; Pseudomonadati; Pseudomonadota; Gammaproteobacteria; Enterobacterales; Enterobacteriaceae. The record is from RNAcentral.
CCUACGGGAGGCUGCAGUGGGGAAUAUUGCACAAUGGGCGCAAGCCUGAUGCAGCCAUGCCGCGUGUGUGAAGAAGGCCUUCGGGUUGUAAAGCACUUUCAGCGGGGAGGAAGGCGUUAAGGUUAAUAACCUUGUCGAUUGACGUUACCCGCAGAAGAAGCACCGGCUAACUCCGUGCCAGCAGCCGCGGUAAUACGGAGGGUGCAAGCGUUAAUCGGAAUUACUGGGCGUAAAGCGCACGCAGGCGGUCUGUCAAGUCGGAUGUGAAAUCCCCGGGCUCAACCUGGGAACUGCAUUCGAAACCGGGAGGCUAGAGGCUUGGUGAGGGGGGUAGAAUUCCAGGUGUAGCGGUUAAAUGCGUUGAGAUCUGGAGGAAUACCGGUGGCGGAGGCGGCCCCCUGGACAAAGACCGACGCUCAGGUGCGAAAGCGUUGGGAGCCAACAGGGUUAGGUACCCGUGUAGUC